ACCUGGGAAAUUGCCCAGUCGAGGGGGAUAACAGUUGGAAACGACUGCUAAUACCGCAUACGCCCUACGGGGGAAAGCAGGGGACCUUCGGGCCUUGCGCGAUUGGAUAUGCCCAGGUGGGAUUAGCUUGUUGGUGAGGUAAAAGCUCACCAAGGCGACGAUCUUUAGCUGGUCUGAGAGGAUGAUCAGCCACACUGGGACUGAGACACGGCCCAGACUCCUACGGGAGGCAGCAGUGGGGAAUAUUGGACAAUGGGCGCAAGCCUGAUCCAGCCAUGCCGCGUGCAGGAUGACGGUCCUAUGGAUUGUAAACUGCUUUUGUACAGGAAGAAACACUCCCUCGUGAGGGAGCUUGACGGUACUGUAAGAAUAAGGAUCGGCUAACUCCGUG
Molecule: ribosomal RNA, 391 nt
Filed under: uncultured bacterium
Lineage: Bacteria
Description: bacterial SSU rRNA
Rfam family: Bacterial small subunit ribosomal RNA
Source: RNAcentral